Molecule: ribosomal RNA, 665 nt
Filed under: Klebsiella pneumoniae
Lineage: Bacteria; Pseudomonadati; Pseudomonadota; Gammaproteobacteria; Enterobacterales; Enterobacteriaceae
Description: partial 23S ribosomal RNA
Rfam family: Bacterial large subunit ribosomal RNA
Source: RNAcentral
GUGACUGCGUACCUUUUGUAUAAUGGGUCAGCGACUUAUAUUCUGUAGCAAGGUUAACCGUAUAGGGGAGCCGCAGGGAAACCGAGUCUUAACUGGGCGUUAAGUUGCAGGGUAUAGACCCGAAACCCGGUGAUCUAGCCAUGGGCAGGUUGAAGGUUGGGUAACACUAACUGGAGGACCGAACCGACUAAUGUUGAAAAAUUAGCGGAUGACUUGUGGCUGGGGGUGAAAGGCCAAUCAAACCGGGAGAUAGCUGGUUCUCCCCGAAAGCUAUUUAGGUAGCGCCUCGUGAACUCAUCUUCGGGGGUAGAGCACUGUUUCGGCUAGGGGGUCAUCCCGACUUACCAACCCGAUGCAAACUACGAAUACCGAAGAAUGUUAUCACGGGAGACACACGGCGGGUGCUAACGUCCGUCGUGAAGAGGGAAACAACCCAGACCGCCAGCUAAGGUCCCAAAGUCAUGGUUAAGUGGGAAACGAUGUGGGAAGGCACAGACAGCCAGGAUGUUGGCUUAGAAGCAGCCAUCAUUUAAAGAAAGCGUAAUAGCUCACUGGUCGAGUCGGCCUGCGCGGAAGAUGUAACGGGGCUAAACCAUGCACCGAAGCUGCGGCAGCGACACUAUGUGUUGUUGGGUAGGGGAGCGUUCUGUAAGCCUGCGAAGGUG